RNAcentral lists this long non-coding RNA (832 nucleotides) under Nicotiana benthamiana. RNAcentral's name for it is "long non-coding RNA (NBEN_LNC032197)". The record is from RNAcentral. Lineage: Eukaryota; Viridiplantae; Streptophyta; Magnoliopsida; Solanales; Solanaceae.
UUGCAGUUCUAAUAACAGAUUUGCUAUCUACCAUUUUAUAGUCCAAAAACUUUGCAGCCACGAACUUUUUCAACCCGUCAUCUUUAGUUUUGUAUUUAUUUUCAAGCGCAUUCCACAGUUCUUUUAACGUUUCCAUGCCAUUUUAGACAUUAUAUAACUCAUGCUCCAACCCGCUAAGAAUGUAAUUCUUGCACAAGAAAUCUGAAUGCUUCCACGCCUCAGUCACACAGUUCCUUUGACGUUUCCACGCCAUUGUAGAUAUUAUACAACGCAUCCUCCAACCUGCUAAGAAUGUAAUUCUUGCACAAGAAAUCUAAAUGCUUCCACGCUUCAGUCACGAGAAAGCGUUCAUUAUUAGGAGUUUCAUCGGCCAGCACAUGAACAUCUUCCUUGAUGAACUUCUGAAGACUUAAGGUAGUCAAAUAGAAGAACAUCUUAUGUUGCCAGCGCUUGAAAUCAAUCCCUGUCACAACCCUAGUUCACCAAUGGUGAACCUGUCAUGACGGACCCAGUCUUCGCGACUAGGUACGUCUAACACAUUGCGGAAAUUUAACAACCUUUACGAAAACGAUAAUCAAAUACUGAAUAACAUAAGAAAAUGCAUAGAGUGUCGCCAGGCACAUACACUUCAACUAAAAUACUAUAACAACCUCCAAGACCCGAAAAUCCACGGGCAACAUAGGCUAAGAGUAAAAACAUAACAUACGGCUCAAACAUCCGGAAGUAUCUAUAACAACUGAAUACAUGAAAUGGAACUGCUAACUAAAAGGUAGAGUAGAAGGAGACUCUUCGGAUUUGAGAAAGCGGCAGAUGCAUACCUCUAGUCUCCAAG